AUUGAACGCUGGCGGCAUGCCUUACACAUGCAAGUCGAACGGUAACAGGUUAAGCUGACGAGUGGCGAACGGGUGAGUAAUGUAUCGGAACGUGCCCAGUCGUGGGGGAUAACUGCUCGAAAGAGCAGCUAAUACCGCAUACGACCUGAGGGUGAAAGCGGGGGAUCGCAAGACCUCGCGCGAUUGGAGCGGCCGAUAUCAGAUUAGGUAGUUGGUGAGGUAAAGGCUCACCAAGCCGACGAUCUGUAGCUGGUCUGAGAGGACGACCAGCCACACUGGGACUGAGACACGGCCCAGACUCCUACGGGAGGCAGCAGUGGGGAAUUUUGGACAAUGGGCGCAAGCCUGAUCCAGCCAUGCCGCGUGCGGGAAGAAGGCCUUCGGGUUGUAAACCGCUUUUGUCAGGGAAGAAAAGGUUCUGGCUAAUACCUGUGACUCAUGACGGUACCUGAAGAAUAAGCACCGGCUAACUACGUG
RNAcentral lists this ribosomal RNA (477 nucleotides) under uncultured bacterium. RNAcentral describes it as "partial 16S ribosomal RNA". It matches the Rfam family "Bacterial small subunit ribosomal RNA", at positions 30 to 507 of the family's 1533-position model. The record is from RNAcentral.